This 252-nucleotide ribosomal RNA is filed under the name uncultured bacterium. Its description in RNAcentral is "partial 16S ribosomal RNA". It matches the Rfam family "Bacterial small subunit ribosomal RNA", at positions 524 to 776 of the family's 1533-position model. The record is from RNAcentral.
UACGGAGGGGGCUAGCGUUGUUCGGAAUUACUGGGCGUAAAGCGCACGUAGGCGGCUUUGUAAGUUAGAGGUGAAAGCCCGGGGCUCAACUCCGGAAUUGCCUUAAGACUGCAUCGCUAGAAUUGUGGAGAGGUAAGUGGAAUUCCGAGUGUAGAGGUGAAAUUCGUAGAUAUUCGGAAGAACACCAGUGGCGAAGGCGACUUACUGGACACAUAUUGACGCUGAGGUGCGAAAGCGUGGGGAGCAAACAGG